GCAGUCGAACGGAGAGCAUUCCUUCGGGGAUGUUUCUUAGUGGCGAACGGGUGAGUAACGCGUGAGCAACCUGCCUUUCAGUGGGGGACAACAGUUGGAAACGACUGCUAAUACCGCAUAAUGUUUCAUUUGGGCAUCCUUAUGAAACCAAAGAUUUAUUGCUGAAAGAUGGGCUCGCGUCUGAUUAGCUGGUUGGCGGGGUAACGGCCCACCAAGGCGACGAUCAGUAGCCGGACUGAGAGGUCGAUCGGCCACAUUGGGACUGAGAUACGGCCCAGACUCCUACGGGAGGCAGCAGUGGGGAAUAUUGGGCAAUGGGCGAAAGCCUGACCCAGCAACGCCGCGUGAGGGAAGAAGGUUCUCGGAUUGUAAACCUCUUUUACCAGGGAAGAAGAAAGUGACGGUACCUGGAGAAAAAGCCACGGCUAACUACGUGCCAGCAGCCGCGGUAAUACGUAGGUGGCAAGCGUUGUCCGGACUUUACUGGGUGUAAAGGGCGUGUAGGCGGGAAGGCAGGUCAGAUGUGAAAUGUCGGGGCUCAACCCCGGAACUGCAUUUGAAACCACUUUUCUUGAGUAUCGGAGAGGCAGGCGGACAUUCCUAGUUGUAGCGGUGAAAUGCAUAGAUAUUACGGAAGAACACCAGUGGCGAAGGCGGCCUGCUGGACGACAACUGACGCUGAGGCGCGAAAGCGUGGGGAGCAAACAGGCAUUCAGAUACCCUUGGUAGUCCAACGCCGUAAACGAUGGAUACUAGGUGUCGGGAGUAUUGAUCCUCUCCGUGCCGCCGUUAACACAGUAAGUAUCCCACCUGGGGAGUACGACCGCAAGGUUGAAACUCAAAGGAAUUGACGGGGGUCCGCACAAGCAGUGGAUUAUGUGGUUUAAUCCGACGCAACGCGAAGAACCUUACCAGGGCUUGACAUCCUACUAACGAAGCAGAGAUGCAUUAGGCCCUCGGAAAGGAC
RNAcentral lists this ribosomal RNA (967 nucleotides) under uncultured bacterium. Its description in RNAcentral is "bacterial SSU rRNA". It matches the Rfam family "Bacterial small subunit ribosomal RNA", at positions 57 to 1026 of the family's 1533-position model. The record is from RNAcentral.